ACGUUGGAUACUGGAGCGGGGAAGGAUUUCGUGCCAACGGCACUCGUACACGAGUUGUUCGGAUACUGAGCACAACGUUACACCGUUUUGUUAGGAAAGUGAAGGUGCGUCGGCGGCGUGCGUUUUUUUUUUGGUUUUUUUUUUUUUUUUAAAAAAAAAAAAAAAAAAGGCGCCCCCCCCUGGGCCUUUUUGAAAAGGGGGAAA
RNAcentral lists this ribosomal RNA (204 nucleotides) under Trypanosoma caninum. RNAcentral's name for it is "partial large subunit ribosomal RNA". Lineage: Eukaryota; Euglenozoa; Kinetoplastea; Trypanosomatida; Trypanosomatidae. The record is from RNAcentral.